This 253-nucleotide ribosomal RNA is filed under the name uncultured bacterium. Its description in RNAcentral is "partial 16S ribosomal RNA". It matches the Rfam family "Bacterial small subunit ribosomal RNA", at positions 524 to 776 of the family's 1533-position model. The record is from RNAcentral.
UACGAAGGGGGCUAGCGUUGCUCGGAAUUACUGGGCGUAAAGCGCACGUAGGCGGUCUUUUAAGUCGGGGGUGAAAGCCCGGAGCUCAACUCCGGAACUGCCAUUGAAACUGUGAGACUUGAGGAUGAGAGAGGUGAGUGGAAUUCCCAGUGUAGAGGUGAAAUUCGUAGAUAUUGGGAAGAACACCGGUGGCGAAGGCGGCUCACUGGCUCAUUUCUGACGCUCAGGCGCGACAGCGUGGGGAUCAAACAGG